RNAcentral lists this ribosomal RNA (423 nucleotides) under uncultured bacterium. RNAcentral's name for it is "bacterial SSU rRNA". It matches the Rfam family "Bacterial small subunit ribosomal RNA", at positions 356 to 772 of the family's 1533-position model. The record is from RNAcentral.
GGGGAAUAUUGGACAAUGGGCGUAAGCCUGAUCCAGCAAUGCCGCGUGUGUGAAGAAGGCCUUCGGGUUGUAAAGCACUUUAGGCAGGGAAGAAAAAGUUCAAGCUAACAUCUUGAGCCUUGACGGUACCUGAAGAAUAAGCACCGGCUAACUCUGUGCCAGCAGCCGCGGUAAUACAGAGGGUGCAAGCGUUAAUCGGAUUUACUGGGCGUAAAGCGGGUGUAGGUUGUUUGACAAGUCGGUUGUGAAAUCCCCGGGCUCAACCUGGGAACUGCUUCCGAGACUGUCCGACUAGAGUACGGUAGAGGGCGGUGGAAUUUCCGGUGUAGCGGUGAAAUGCGUAGAUAUCGGAAGGAACACCAAUGGCGAAGGCAGCCGCCUGGGCCUGUACUGACACUGAGACACGAAAGCGUGGGGAUCAAA